GAUCAGACUCCAGCCAAUGGUGGAGUGUGGCAACCAGCGGCGGCACCGUGACCAACAGCGGCGGGAAUCCCAGAGGAGAGAGAGGCUCUGGCGAAAGAGCGAGUAGAGAGAAAAAGAAGUGAUUCCUAGUAACUCAUUAGACGGAUUAACAACAAUUUCUAUACAACUACCAUAAGAAGGAAUGGGACUGCUGCUCGCUCUCUUCCUGGAGAAGGGGAUGUGGAAUCAGCUAGCUGCUCUUGCUGUCUUUCUUGGGAAGAAUCCCAGUAAAGCUAUCGCAUUAAAUCCGCAACGUGAAGUAUGCUCUUUCAUAAGAUGCUUUUCAUUGCAUUUCUUUGACGGUUGCUGAACCUAUGUUCAUGUUUAUUUUCUUGUGAAUUUAUUUAUUAAUAAAAAGGUUUUCUUUUAAAAAUAAUAACAAUAAUAAUUUUUUAAAAAAUAAAAUAAAUUAAAAAAAAAAAACCUUACAAAAAAGUUGGAUCAUACCUUUUGUGCCACUUCCAAUUCCUAUUUUAAUAGGAAUGGGACUCCUACUUUUUCCGACGGCAACAAAAAAUCUUCGUCGUAUGUGGGCUUUUCCCAAUAUUUUAUUGUUAAGUAUAGUUAUGAUUUUUUCGGUCGAUCUGUCUAUUCAGCAAAUAAAUAGAAGUUCUAUCUAUCAAUAUGGAUGGUCUUAAUUUGAUAUGAAAUUUUUUUUUAUUUUUUAUAUUUUUUCAAAAAAAAAGUUAAAUUAUGUAUCGAAAGAGUAGUAUAAGAGAAGGGCAUUUCCAAUUUAAUCUUAGCUAUCGUGGGCCCAUCUCAGGCGUCACAAACUUUUUUUUCUUUUCUUACCAGAGGCUAUUAACAAUAUUUAUGUUAUGAAAGAGUACGAAAAAAAAAA
Molecule: non-coding RNA, 880 nt
Organism: Durio zibethinus
Lineage: Eukaryota; Viridiplantae; Streptophyta; Magnoliopsida; Malvales; Malvaceae
Source: RefSeq, a predicted model, not a curated record